ACGGGUGAGUAACACGUGAGCAACCUGCCCCCUACUUCGGGAUAAGCCUUGGAAACGGGGUCUAAUACCGGAUAUGAACGUCUGCCGCAUGGUGGGUGUUGGAAAGUUUUUCGGUGGGGGAUGGGCUCGCGGCCUAUCAGCUUGUUGGUGGGGUAAUGGCCUACCAAGGCGUCGACGGGUAGCCGGCCUGAGAGGGCGACCGGCCACACUGGGACUGAGACACGGCCCAGACUCCUACGGGAGGCAGCAGUGGGGAAUAUUGCACAAUGGGCGAAAGCCUGAUGCAGCGACGCCACGUGAGGGAUGACGGCCUUCGGGUUGUAAACCUCUUUCAGCAGGGAAGAAGCGCAAGUGACGGUACCUGCAGAAGAAGCGCCGGCUAACUACGUGCCAGCAGCCGCGGUAAUACGUAGGGCGCAAGCGUUGUCCGGAAUUAUUGGGCGUAAAGAGCUCGUAGGCGGUCUGUCGCGUCUGGUGUGAAAUCCCAUGGCUCAACUGUGGGCUUGCAUCGGGUACGGGCAGACUAGAGUGCUGUAGGGGAGACUGGAAUUCCUGGUGUAGCGGUGGAAUGCGCAGAUAUCAGGAGGAACACCGAUGGCGAAGGCAGGUCUCUGGGCAGUUACUGACGCUGAGGAGCGAAAGCAUGGGGAGCGAACAGGAUUAGAUACCCUGGUAGUCCAUGCCGUAAACGUUGGGCACU
This 700-nucleotide ribosomal RNA is filed under the name Promicromonospora xylanilytica. RNAcentral describes it as "bacterial SSU rRNA". It matches the Rfam family "Bacterial small subunit ribosomal RNA", at positions 102 to 817 of the family's 1533-position model. Lineage: Bacteria; Bacillati; Actinomycetota; Actinomycetes; Micrococcales; Promicromonosporaceae. The record is from RNAcentral.